AUAGGGGAGCCGCAGGGAAACCGAGUCUUAACUGGGCGUUAAGUUGCAGGGUAUAGACCCGAAACCCGGUGAUCUAGCCAUGGGCAGGUUGAAGGUUGGGUAACACUAACUGGAGGACCGAACCGACUAAUGUUGAAAAAUUAGCGGAUGACCUGUGGCUGGGGGUGAAAGGCCAAUCAAACCGGGAGAUAGCUGGUUCUCCCCGAAAGCUAUUUAGGUAGCGCCUCGUGAACUCAUCUCCGGGGGUAGAGCACUGUUUCGGCUAGGGGGCCAUCCCGGCUUACCAACCCGAUGCAAACUGCGAAUACCGGAGAAUGUUAUCACGGGAGACACACGGCGGGUGCUAACGUCCGUCGUGAAGAGGGAAACAACCCAGACCGCCAGCUAAGGUCCCAAAGUCAUGGUUAAGUGGGAAACGAUGUGGGAAGGCCCAGACAGCCAGGAUGUUGGCUUAGAAGCAGCCAUCAUUUAAAGAAAGCGUAAUAGCUCACUGGUCGAGUCGGCCUGCGCGGAAGAUGUAACGGGGCUAAACCAUGCACCGAAGCUGCGGCAGCGACGCUUAUGCGUUGUUGGGUAGGGGAGCGUUCUGUAAGCCGUCGAAGGUGUGCUGUGAGGCAUGCUGGAGGUAUCAGAAGUGCGAAUGCUGACAUAAGUAACGAUAAACAAGGUGAAAAACCUUGUCGCCGGAAGACCAAGGGUUCCUGUUCAACGUUAAUCGGAGCAGGGUGAGUCGACCCCUAAGGCGAGGCCGAAAGGCGUAGUCGAUGGGAAACAGGUUAAUAUUCCUGUACUUGGUGUUACUGCGAAGGGGGGACGGAGAAGGCUAUAUCAGCCGGGCGACGGUUGUCCCGGUUUAAGCGUGUAGGUGUGUGUUCCAGGCAAAUCCGGUUCACUUUACACUGAGGCGUGACGACGAGGCACUACGGUGCUGAAGUGAUAAAUGCCCUGCUUCCAGGAAAAGCCUCUAAGCAUCAGGUAACACAAAAUCGUACCCCAAACCGACACAGGUGGUCAGGUAGAGAAUACCAAGGCGCUUGAGAGAACUCGGGUGAAGGAACUAGGCAAAAUGGUGCCGUAACUUCGGGAGAAGGCACGCUGGCGCGUAGGUGAAGGGACUUGCUCCCGGAGCCGAAGCCAGUCGAAGAUACCAGCUGGCUGCAACUGUUUAUUAAAAACACAGCACUGUGCAAACACGAAAGUGGACGUAUACGGUGUGACGCCUGCCCGGUGCCGGAAGGUUAAUUGAUGGGGUUAUCCGUAAGGAGAAGCUCUUGAUCGAAGCCCCGGUAAACGGCGGCCGUAACUAUAACGGUCCUAAGGUAGCGAAAUUCCUUGUCGGGUAAGUUCCGACCUGCACGAAUGGCGUAAUGAUGGCCAGGCUGUCUCCACCCGAGACUCAGUGAAAUUGAAAUCGCUGUGAAGAUGCAGUGUACCCGCGGCAAGACGGAAAGACCCCGUGAACCUUUACUACAGCUUGACACUGAACACUGAGCCUUGAUGUGUAGGAUAGGUGGGAGGCUUUGAAGCGUGGACGCCAGUCUGCGUGGAGCCGGCCUUGAAAUACCACCCUUUAAUGUUUGGUGUUCUAACGUAGGCCCGUGAUCCGGGCUGCGGACAGUGUCUGGUGGGUAGUUUGACUGGGGCGGUCUCCUCCCAAAGCGUAACGGAGGAGCACGAAGGUUGGCUAAUCCUGGUCGGACAUCAGGAGGUUAGUGCAAUGGCAUAAGCCAGCUUGACUGCGAGAGUGACGGCUCGAGCAGGUGCGAAAGCAGGUCAUAGUGAUCCGGUGGUUCUGAAUGGAAGGGCCAUCGCUCAACGGAUAAAAGGUACUCCGGGGAUAACAGGCUGAUACCGCCCAAGAGUUCAUAUCGACGGCGGUGUUUGGCACCUCGAUGUCGGCUCAUCACAUCCUGGGGCUGAAGUAGGUCCCAAGGGUACGGCUGUUCGCCGUUUAAAGUGGUACGCGAGCUGGGUUUAGAACGUCGUGAGACAGUUCGGUCCCUAUCUGCCGUGGGCGCUGGAGAAUUGAGGGGGGUUGCUCCUAGUACGAGAGGACCGGAGUGAACGCACCGCUGGUGUCCGGGUUGUCACGCCAGUGGCACUGCCCGGUAGCUAAGUGCGGAAAAGAUAAGUGCUGAAAGCAUCUAAGCACGAAACUUGCCCCGAGAUGAGUUCU
Molecule: ribosomal RNA, 2176 nt
Filed under: Pantoea ananatis LMG 2665
Lineage: Bacteria; Pseudomonadati; Pseudomonadota; Gammaproteobacteria; Enterobacterales; Erwiniaceae
Description: bacterial LSU rRNA
Rfam family: Bacterial large subunit ribosomal RNA
Source: RNAcentral